GACGAACCGUGCGAACGUUGUUCGGAAUCACUGGGCUUAAAGGGCGCGUAGGCGGCUCAGCAAGUCGGGGGUGAAAUCUUUCGGCUCAACCGGAAAAGUGCCUUCGAUACUGCGGAGCUCGAGGAGGGUAGGGGUCACGGGAACGACCAGUGGAGCGGUGAAAUGCGUUGAGAUUGGUAGGAACGCCGGUGGCGAAAGCGCGUGACUGGACCCUCCCUGACGCUGAGGCGCGAAAGCUAGGGGAGCAAACGGG
This 253-nucleotide ribosomal RNA is filed under the name uncultured bacterium. RNAcentral describes it as "partial 16S ribosomal RNA". It matches the Rfam family "Bacterial small subunit ribosomal RNA", at positions 524 to 776 of the family's 1533-position model. The record is from RNAcentral.